AGGAGGGGUCAAAAUCCCGAGCGGCAGCUAAUCCCCAUCGGGCCUGGCUACAUCUCAUCUCUCUCCCUCUCCCCUUCUUCUCCAUCACCGGCCGCCGCCACAGCCAGGCCGGCGUGGUGGUGAGCCAUUCACACAGCGCCACCAUCUCCUUCUCCUCCCCGAAGCCAUCCAUCUCCACCGUCCGCGCCCAGCGCCAACCAGCACCGCCUCCAUCCAUCACCCAGCACCACCACUACUCCUCCUACCUCCAGUGCCUACAUCCACCACACCAGCCGCUCCCUCACGCGCUGCAUCAGACACUCCGGCGCGAGUGUCUGGUCACCCGCGUGAGUGCGCCACCCAACUCCUUCGCCUCGGAUCCAUCUCGCAGACCACCAGUGUGCCACCACCAUCGCCAACUCCCUCUUCCUUCUUCUGCUCUCUGCCUGCUGCUGCUUCUUCUUCCCACGCCCCUGCUGCUGCUUGCUCUCUCAAUCUCUGCUACUACUUCUCCAUCUCUUGCUGCUACUUCUUCUUCUCUGAACCUCAUUUCUUCUCCUUGCAUCCCCUUGUUGCUGCUCCAUUCCCAAACUGCUGCUACCUAUUCUUCUUCUUGUCUGAACCUCUGUCCUUCCCCUCGUUGCUGCUCCUCACUUGCGCCAGCUGCUCCUGUUCCCUACGCCUCUGCUACUGGUUCUUGCUUCUCUUCUGAACCUGAAGCUCUCUCUCUCUCUCUUAUCUCAAACUGUUGUAAACUUUAGAAGUGUAAUGUUCAGAAUUUUGUAAUUUUCAGGGUUGUGUAAUGUUCAGACUUGACAAGUUCUAGCAACUCGUUAUUUGUUCAGUUUAGUACCUGUAUAAUAAAGUACUUGUUAUGUUGGACCUGACUAGUUGAGGCCUUGUUAAUUUGGGUGAUAAUUGAUCUAUUAGAAUGUGCUUCUGUGUAUUACUAUUCUGCUAGUAUAUGUGCGUGUUCACCUUGUGUACUAAUCCCCUUUCCUAGUUAUCUUCCAGUACUUGUCAACUUUGUGUGUGUUUGAUUUUCAGUCCAUAUGUUAGCUCAAGUACCUGUGCCAUAUAAAUAUGUGUGUGUGCUUGUGAUUUAAAUAAUCUGUUUUCUGUUCAGUAAUUCAUACGCUUGCUAGAUAUAUAUGGUCAUGUCUUUUGACUUCCCUUGUCACUAAUAUUAGCCUUUCAGUUUCUAUAAUAAUAUGAAAAUACCAAAAAGACAGAGUAAAGAUAAUCUUCAUCUCCCUUUGCUUCUGUCAUUUUCUUUGUUGAUGAUCCUUGUCAGUGUUAGGUUUAUUUUCUGUUUUCAUCAUUCAUUUGGGUCACCUAGCUUUAGUCGAACGUAGUUGCCGCCGCCUAGUCCCUGUGGAGAACACGACAUCCGUAGUUUGGGGCGUAAAAACCCCGCUAUAUUACAAUUGAUCAUUUUGGCGCCGUUGCCGGGGACUAGUGUCGAGCGCUUGUGUUAGGCUAUAGACUAGAUUUACUUUAGUUCCUUGUUCAAUUCGUCGUGUAUUUCAUCUUCAGUGUUUUUCUUCUACUUUCCCCCAUUGUUGCUUCGGCUUAUUAGGAUACUAACCUUCUGACUAGUGCUUACUGUUCAUGAGUGUGUGUAGGGAAUCAUAAAUCUUUGCUAGUUGUUCUCUAGUUACACUUGGUUAAGAUAUGGCAUUGCUUCGUGAUCUUUGGAUGCCAAGUAGUCAAUGUUAUAUCACAGGACCGGUUUGGCCAACUAUUGAGGCAGAGAAUUUUGAGAUGAAGCCUGGUCUUAUUGCUUUGGUUCAACAACAACAGUUUGGAGGACUGCCCACUGAGGAUCACUAUGAGCACUUAUACCGAGUCAUGGAGUAUUCAGGUACAGUCAAGUACCAUGGAGUUCCUCAAGAUUCUAUCAAGUGCAUGUUGUUCUGAUUCUCUCUCCGGGAUGAUUCUCGUGCUUGGUAUCGACCCUUGCCAUCAAGAUCAUUCAGUUGGAACGAGAUAUCACAAGCUUUCUCCACUACACAAGCAGUCCGCAAUUUGAGAUGAGAUCCUCAGCUUCGUUCAACAUGAAGGCGAGAGCUUGUAUGAUGCUUGGGAGAGAUACAAGGCUUUAUUCAGGAGAUGUCCUAACCACGGGCUCGAGAGAUGGUUAGAGCUGCAAAUAUUCUAUAGAGGAUUGACUUGGGACACUCGAGCUUACGUCGAUAUGGCAGCGGGCGGAGCUAUUACAAACAAGACACUUGAUGAUGCUUUUCUGCUGAUUGAGAGCAUAGCUUUCCACCAACUUCAGUGGUACAAUGAUAAGCCCACCUCUAAUUCAUUGGUUUGCUUGCAACAAAUCACUACACCUCAGCCGCCAAUUCUUACACAAAAUCCUGAACCUCUAUCUCAGUGUGACAAGAUUGAGCUUGCAUGGAUUAUCUUUGACGAUGAUGACACCAUUCUAGUUGACACACGCGCUACAGAUCACAUGGAUACUAGUGUUGGAGAUUCAGUUUUGCAUUGUGAUGAUUCUUCCAUGGAUGAGCCGGAGCUGCAGUUAGUUGCUUUUGAUAUUGAGGAGUCACCUUUAGUUCAUAUUGAGCAUGUGCUGGUAGAGCCAGAUAUGGAGAAGUUCUCCUUCGAUGAUGUCAGCUGCAUUAAUUCCUCAACACUUGAGCCUGAGAUGGAGAGCUUCAUGGUUGACUAUGAUGAGGUGGAUUCAGAUGUCAAGGAGCCAAGCUCUACUAUUUCACUUGUUGACAUGAGUCCAGUGGAAAUUUCUACAAGCACACCUCACUUGGUAUCUUCAAUUGAGGUAGUCCUGAAGGUUCUUCCUAACUAUCUCAGGUAUGAUCUCAGCUUUCUUGACAAGAUAUGCCAUAUCAUGGAUACUGCCUAUGCACCAUGCGGUCUAUUGAUGAUAUCUAUUUGUCAUAUGCUUAGAUAUGCUUAUGUGAUAGGAUACUCUAUUGAUGACUUAGAGGGCAUUGUCCCUAUCAUUUGUAUUGGCUUGUUUGUUGAGUGUUCUUUCAGGUUUACGCUUUUGUACCAUUCAUUGUGGGUUGACCAAGUUCGAGAUGACAUCCCAUGGGAUCCUGGUGGACUCAAAGCAUGGCGAUGAGGAGAAGCAAGGGGGCACACACGAGGAAGGGAGAAGCUGGAGCAGGCAUGAGGAUAGAGAAGCAAAAGGAGAGGAGCUGCAGUUGGUGAGGUGAUCGAGGGAGUGCUACUUCAUUAAGCCCGGUGAGCUAUUUCAUGACCCAUUCUGAAUAUCAUAAAUACAUGCUGAAUUCAAUUGCUAGUUGGGUUGCUUGAGCCAGUUAUUACUUGUUGUCAAGCUGAAUUUCACCUUUGGCAUUUUGCUUGAUGUGAAUUUGUGAACUUGAUUUUUGAAUGCCUUGUAAACUAGUGAUCUACACCAUGCAUGCUUUGCUGAAAUUAGUGAAAGUUAUUAGUUUUGAGUGCUCAAAUCCCUAGUACACUAGAAAACUUAAUCAUUUUCUACUUUUACCUCGAUACACCUAGAUCACCACGUUUAGAUGCUGAAUUUGUGCCAAGUGUCUUCCCAUUGAGAGCAAUCACCUAACCACUAUGGAUUAGCAUGCUAUGUUCCCUGGAUCGGUAGCAUGUGAACCAGGCAUGGAGAAGUGAUGAUUCCUGUUUUUGUUCUUAUGCGUUGUUCAUUUAAGUUAAGUAAUAAUGAAUAAAUAAGUCUGGCUACCUACAGUAGCAUGUCAUGUUCCCGGGAUCGGUGGUAUGUGAAAUCAGGUUAGCUUGGGCAGUAAUUAAUUAUAAUAAAAAUGUAAUUCUCGAACCAGGUGUAUACCAUGUUCUCGGGAUCGGUGGUAUGUUCCUUUGGGGAGACAAACAAAAAAUAUUAACAAAAAUUGGUUGAGCCAGGUGUAUACCAUGUUCUCGGGAUCGGUGGUAUGUUCCUUCGGUGAGACUAAUGAAAUAAUAUGUGUGUUUCUUUCAAAUUCAAUAAGUGGUUCAACCACAAAGUCAUAUUUCUGCAAAUAAGAGAUUUAAUUCCAGUUCUUUUUGUUCUCGGGAUCAUGCUCUCUUUAGGAACCAUUUGGCGCAGUCAUCAUUUAAACUUGUUGAUCCUCUUUUAUCAUUGUAAAAGUUUAAAAUGGUCAUGCUUACUAGUAUCUUACCGCUUUGAAGCACUCCUAACCAUUAAUUUUUACUAGCUAAGUCCAAAGCAUGCACUGUUUAGGCAUCUACUUCACUUGGUAUUCUCUAGUCAGCUCACUGUUCACAUUCUUGCUCUUGUCAUAUGCCUUUGCUUGAGGACAAGCAAAAGUUUAAGUGUGGGGGAACUUGAUAAGCACAUUUCAUAUAUACAAUUUUGGCAUAGAAAUAUAUUAUUUAUUGAGAUAUGACCAUCAAUUCUUGCUGUGAAAUAUUGAAUAUUUGCAUGAAAAUCAUAUAAAGUAUCAUUUACUAGUCAUUGUGUUUCUUUUGCAGAAAAGUGCGCAAAGGCACUAUAAACUUCAAGAUCUGGACUAGUGGCUAAGAGAACCAGUCAAGUGAAAAGGAAGAAGAAAGACAGAGGGACUUGUGUGUGAAGAAAUGAUGCUCCAUGGGACAAGUUAAAGAAGAAAGGGACCUUCUUAUGAAGAAAGAAGAAAAGCAGAAGGGCCAAAAUUGCAAAGUGGCAGAUCAGAGGAGGGGUCAAAAUCCCUAGCGGUAGCUAAUCCCCAUCGGGCCUGGCUACAUCUCAUCUCUCUCCCUCUCACCUUCUUCUCCAUCACCGGCCGCCGCCAUGGCCAGGCCGGCGUGGUGGUGAGCCAUUCACCCAUCACCACCAUCUCCUUAUCCUCCCCGAAGCCAUCCACCUCCACCGUCCGCGCCCAGCGCCAACCAGCACCGCCUCCAUCCAUCACCCAGCGCCACCACUACUCCUCCUACCUCCAGUGCCUACAUCCACCACACCAGCCGCUCCCUCACGCGCCGCAUCAGACACUCCGGCGCGAGUGUCUGGUCACCCGCAUGAGUGCGCCACCCAACUCCUUCGCCUCGGAUCCAUCUCGCAGACCACCAGUGUGCCACCACCAUCGCCAACUCCCUCUUCCUUCUUCUGCUCUCUGCCUGCUGCUGCUUCUUCUUCCCACGCCCCUGCUGCUGCUUGCUCUCUCAAUCUCUGCUACUACUUCUCCAUCUCUUGCUGCUACUUCUUCUUCUCUGAACCUCAUUUCUUCUCCUUGCAUCCCCUUGUUGCUGCUCCAUUCCCAAACUGCUGCUACCUAUUCUUCUUCUUCUCUGAACCUCUGUCCUUCCCCUUGUUGCUGCUCCUCACUUGCGCCAGCUGCUCCUGUUCCCUACGCCUCUGCUACUGGUUCUUGCUUCUCUUCUGAACCCGAAGCUCUCUCUCUCUCUCUCUUAUCUCAAACUGUUGUAAACUUUAGAAGUGUAAUGUUCAGAAUUUUGUAAUUUUCAGGGUUGUGUAAUGUUCAGACUUGACAAGUUCUAGCAACUCGUUAUUUGUUCAGUUUAGUACCUGUAUAAUAAAGUACUUGUUAUGUUGGACCUGACUAGUUGAGGCCUUGUUAAUUUGGGUGAUAAUUGAUCUAUUAGAAUGUGCUUCUGUGUAUUACUAUUCUGCUAGUAUAUGUGCGUGUUCACCUUGUGUACUAAUCCCCUUUACUAGUUAUCUUCCAGUACUUGUCAACUUUGUGUGUGUUUGAUUUUCAGUCCAUAUGUUAGCUCAAGUACCUGUGCCAUAUAAAUAUGUGUGUGUGAUUGUGAUUUAAACAAUCUGUUUUCUGUUCAGUAAUUCAUACGCUUGCUACAUAUAUAUGGUCAUGUCUUUUGACUUCCC
RNAcentral lists this long non-coding RNA (5776 nucleotides) under Triticum aestivum (bread wheat). RNAcentral's name for it is "long non-coding RNA (TAES_LNC027330)". Lineage: Eukaryota; Viridiplantae; Streptophyta; Magnoliopsida; Poales; Poaceae. The record is from RNAcentral.